Apaloderma vittatum (bar-tailed trogon) is the source of this 61-nucleotide non-coding RNA. NCBI's taxonomy places the organism in Eukaryota, Metazoa, Chordata, Aves, Trogoniformes, Trogonidae. The record is from Rfam.
UCAAAGGCUUCCUUCCUGAGAAAUCUUUCAGAAGCCAAACACAUAUUCAAAUAAAUGAACU